Molecule: ribosomal RNA, 395 nt
Filed under: uncultured bacterium
Lineage: Bacteria
Description: partial 16S ribosomal RNA
Rfam family: Bacterial small subunit ribosomal RNA
Source: RNAcentral
AUACGUAGGGUGCAAGCGUUAAUCGGAAUUACUGGGCGUAAAGCGUGCGCAGGCGGUUUUGUAAGACAGUGGUGAAAUCCCCGGGCUCAACCUGGGAACUGCCAUUGUGACUGCAAGGCUGGAGUGCGGCAGAGGGGGGUGGAAUUCCGCGUGUAGCAGUGGAAUGCGUAGAUAUGCGGAGGAACACCGAUGGCGAAGGCAAUCCCCUGGGCCUGCACUGACGCUCAUGCACGAAAGCGUGGGGAGCAAACAGGAUUAGAUACCCUGGUAGUCCACGCCCUAAACGAUGUCAACUGGUUGUUGGGGAUUUAUUUUCUCAGUAACGAAGCUAAAGCGUGAAGUUGACCGCCUGGGGAGUACGGCCGCAAGGUUAAAACUCAAAUGAAUUGGCGGGG